GAUGAACGCUAGCGGCAGGCCUAACACAUGCAAGUCGAGGGGUAGAAGGAGCUUGCUCCUUUGAGACCGGCGCACGGGUGCGUAACGCGUAUGCAAUCUACCUUGUACAGGGGAAUAGCCCAGAGAAAUUUGGAUUAAUGCCCCAUAGUAUAUAACCUUCGCAUGUUGGUUAUAUUAAAGUUCCAACGGUACAAGAUGAGCAUGCGUCCCAUUAGUUAGUUGGUAAGGUAACGGCUUACCAAGACGAUGAUGGGUGGGGGUCCUGAGAGGGAGAUCCCCCAGAGUGUGACAGAGGCCCCAGACAGACACGUGAGGGAGGAAGGGGGGAGGAUGAUUAGUGAACGGAAGCCAGACCGAGCCAGCCAGGCCGCGGGCAGAAAGCCGGCGCUUUGGAUUGUAAACUGCUUUUAAACAGAAAGGAACCCUCCAACGUGUGGGGGCUUGACGGGAAUGUAGAAAUAAAGAACGGCUAACUCCGUG
Molecule: ribosomal RNA, 480 nt
Filed under: uncultured bacterium
Lineage: Bacteria
Description: partial 16S ribosomal RNA
Rfam family: Bacterial small subunit ribosomal RNA
Source: RNAcentral